RNAcentral lists this ribosomal RNA (433 nucleotides) under Agrobacterium tumefaciens. RNAcentral's name for it is "bacterial SSU rRNA". It matches the Rfam family "Bacterial small subunit ribosomal RNA", at positions 189 to 642 of the family's 1533-position model. Lineage: Bacteria; Pseudomonadati; Pseudomonadota; Alphaproteobacteria; Hyphomicrobiales; Rhizobiaceae. The record is from RNAcentral.
ACGCCCUACGGGGGAAAGAUUUAUCGGGGAAGGAUUGGCCCGCGUUGGAUUAGCUAGUUGGUGGGGUAAAGGCCUACCAAGGCGACGAUCCAUAGCUGGUCUGAGAGGAUGAUCAGCCACAUUGGGACUGAGACACGGCCCAAACUCCUACGGGAGGCAGCAGUGGGGAAUAUUGGACAAUGGGCGCAAGCCUGAUCCAGCCAUGCCGCGUGAGUGAUGAAGGCCUUAGGGUUGUAAAGCUCUUUCACCGGAGAAGAUAAUGACGGUAUCCGGAGAAGAAGCCCCGGCUAACUUCGUGCCAGCAGCCGCGGUAAUACGAAGGGGGCUAGCGUUGUUCGGAAUUACUGGGCGUAAAGCGCACGUAGGCGGAUAUUUAAGUCAGGGGUGAAAUCCCAGAGCUCAACUCUGGAACUGCCUUUGAUACUGGGUAUCU